RNAcentral lists this long non-coding RNA (1355 nucleotides) under Sus scrofa (pig). RNAcentral describes it as "lncRNA (ENSSSCG00015045199.1)". The record is from RNAcentral. Lineage: Eukaryota; Metazoa; Chordata; Mammalia; Artiodactyla; Suidae.
CGUCGCCACCGCGCUCCUGCCAAGCCGACUUGGAGCGGAAGCUGAAGCCGAAGCCCCCAGCCAGAGGGUCGUCGCCACUCAGCGGGGGAUCGUCGUCGUCGUCCCUGCGCCAGCGGCUGGCCAGGCGCUGCUGCUUCUGCGGGGUCACCGACCCCCCGGGUUUCUUGGUGGAGCCGCGGGCCGAACCCCCCGGGGCGUGGGGGUAGCCAUUGGCUCGGGAGUCGGCCUCGCCCCACGCGGAGCGGUGUUCCGCGCCUCCCCGGGACGCCGGCGCCGUAGCUGUCUGCGCCGCGUAGCCCGGGGGGCUUACGCUUUUGGAGCUGGACAUCCCCCCCUCGGCCUCGUCGUCUUCUUCCUCCUCCCCCCCCGGGGGCCGGGCCGGGGGUCUCCAAGGGGAGGGCGGACGGCCGAGCAGGGGGACCAGGCUGGGGUCACACGACGGGGGCGGCCCUGGGCCCUGGGCAGUAGCUGGGCAUCUUGGCACCCCCGUGCUGAACGGAGAAGGAGGGCAGCGGGAGAGAGAGUGGGAGGCAGUUACAGCCCCGAGGUGAGAAGUGGCUGAGAAUCCGCGUCAGGAGUCCCAGGUCCGAGAUGGAGUUGGCUCCAAGCUGGGGCAGCGGGGACUGCUCGAGAUGCUGCGCCGCGCGCAGAGGGACGUCCGGACUCCUGGCUCGCGUCGAGCUCGACAAGGACCGGAGUUGCGGACGAGGCGGGACGGCGAGGUGUCCUUGCGGGCGGCGCCUCCCCGGAGCUGGCAAUGCCCGGGCGCGGCGCUCGCAGAUUCUGCCUAAGCGGAGCCCAGCGGCACACGAGGCGAGGCAGCUAGGGCGGCUCGGCAGGGGUCCCGGCGUGGAAACCAAGCGGGCACCCUUUCCUCACGGCAGACUGGGAGCGACUGGGAGGCUGCAACACCAAGGCCUUUGCAGUCGUGGCGCAGCUGCAGCUGAGCAGAGCAAGAAUGGCAGAAAGACCCACCUGAAUCCAAGAUACCCAGCAAACCUAAUCACCACCUGAGCUGCCUCGCCGUGUCCUCUCUGCUGGCUCCUUGUUCUCCUCUCAGGAGUUAUUUCCCCUGCAUGCUGUUAUUACCAUUUAAAAUACCACGUAACUACCCCAGAAUUACUAAUGAUCACUCCAACUGUAUUCUGAGACACAUCUACAGAGCCUCCUGCCCAACACUUCCCAUCAUCAAAAGCUCUCCAACUCUGGGUCAGGGUGAAAAAACCCAUAGAAACAACAUUACUUGUGGCAUUUUAAAUGAGUUCAGGAUGCCGCCGACACCAGGGUCAUGUUACUUCUGGUAUUGUGGUUAAAUGAUCAAUAAAUGGCAGCCCAGGAAUUCCUGUUGUGGCUCA